This 514-nucleotide long non-coding RNA is filed under the name Crocodylus porosus (Australian saltwater crocodile). Its description in RNAcentral is "lncRNA (ENSCPRG00005017825.1)". The record is from RNAcentral. Lineage: Eukaryota; Metazoa; Chordata; Crocodylia; Crocodylidae.
AUCAAGGGUUUCACUGGGAUUUUUAUACAUAUACAUUUAUGAUACAAAAUGUUGCACAAUACUGGAGAGUAGACUAUAAAAUAUAGGCCCACAGAGAAGGCAGUGCAAGUUAAUAAAUCAGAUCUGCUUUCUUCUAGACAGUUUGUGAUAUCCCAAUUAUUCUAGGAAUAAUUAUGGUGGGAUUAAGGGUUUGCACAAGCCAGCCUUGCCAAAAACCUGAGGAGAAAAAAAGAUAUUUGCAUCUAUUCUGUUUCUUUCUUGUAGAUCCCUGGAAAUAUGCAAGAGAAGGAACCCUGGGAACUACCCCGUGAGGAACAAACCACACUCCACUCCCAAUUGGCUAAUAAGUAGGAAAUUCAACAGAGAAGAAGCAUCUCAAAGAAAGAAACAGGGGAAAAACAACAAGGGAACAGAAGGCAAGAUUCUUGGAAGGCAAGAGGACAGACAUAAAGACAGCACCCCAGAACACCAUUCAUUUCAGUUAGACUCAAGGAAAGGAUUCACAAAGACCUGA